AGUGUCCUGAAAUGUGCGUUGUAUUACCUAACUUUUGACCAACAUUAUUUCUUCGGGAGUCUUUAGUUUCCUGGUUGCGUAAAUGCCCCAACCUAUACGGUAAAAGGGACUUACAAAUACCAAGAACAGGACACCCACCUGCUCAGAUGCGGGAUCAAAAGAAGGAACUAAGAGCGACGGCAUCAUUGGGACCCUU
RNAcentral lists this non-coding RNA (196 nucleotides) under Bacillus sp. MRMR6. RNAcentral's name for it is "6S / SsrS RNA". It matches the Rfam family "6S / SsrS RNA". From Rfam's summary of the family: E. coli 6S RNA was the first non coding RNA to be sequenced, but its function was unknown until recently. The record is from Rfam by way of RNAcentral. Lineage: Bacteria; Bacillati; Bacillota; Bacilli; Caryophanales; Bacillaceae.